GCGUGCACGUCGCUAUGGUAACGGCCGCCGGCGCGCAGGGAUAGGGGGCGGGGCAAGGAGGAGGGAGGAGGCCGCGGGGCGGGGCCGAAGAGGAGUGGAGAGAAGUGAAAGCAGGAGUGGCCAGGCCAGGGUCAGGAGGAGAGUGGAGGGGAAGAUGAGAAGAGAGGGGAGGGGCAGGAUGGGGGAGGAAAAGGCUGGCUUCCCUCUAUACUCCAGAGCCAGCGGGGAGGCUGGGAGAAAGCUACUCUUAAGUCAUUGAUUUGCCAGUUACACCUCGUAGCCUCUCGGAAAUCCCUGGGAGAUCUCAGAACCUUCUAGAAUAAUUGGGUGCCUCCCCGCCCCUCCCCCCAGCCCUUUUCCAGGGGGCUUGUCCCGAGAGCUGCGGAAUCCAGUCAGGUUCCUAAAUGUUGCUCCUUAGCACGCUGUGAACUUUGCCCCACACUCAUUAGCAUCAGUGUUUAGGAUGGGUUAGGACAUCAGUAACUGUUGAUCUGAGACUGCUGACCCUUUCUGAGUCCUGGGCAUUAAAUAACAGAAGAUGAUGUGGGGAUUAGGUUAUUUUCUAUCCACUUGUGGGUUUGUAGCCGGACGAGCCACAGACAAGAACCGCUCAGACACCGAGUUAUGGAAGGAAAGGGCUUUAUUCAGCUGGGAGCAUUGGCGGACUCACAUCUUCGAAAACCGAGCUCCCGGAGUGAGCAAUUCCUGUCCCUUUUAAGGGCAUACAACUCUAAGAGGGUCUGCGUGAGUGGGUCGUGAUCGAUUGAGCAAGUAGUGGGUGAAGUCUGAUUACCCUGGCUGUCUUCAGCAAGAAUCCUUUGAGAUGAGUUUAACCAGAAUUCUCUUUACCUCUGAUAUUUCCUCUUAGUAAUUUUUCAUCCACUGACCCUCAGCCUGCUCUUUGCUAUAAAUUUCUACUUGCUUAUGCUAUAUUCGGAGUUGAACCCAAUCCCUCCCCCAACUACAAGACCCUGUUGCAGUAAUUCCUAUAUCUAUUGCAAUGGUCUUGAACGCACUCUGCCUGUCCAUGCCUUAAUAAGAUCAUUGAAUAAUUUUUUCUUUAACACCCCUCAACUAAUUUAGGUACAUUUCAACACUCACCUCUAACUUUGCCACUUCUAUGCAGUUUCCUCAUAUCUUUCAAAUACAGUGAGAUAUCAUCCUUCCAAUGCUGUAGUAGCACCAAUAGCAUUGACCACCUUGUAUUAGUAAUCAGUAAUUGUUCACAACUCUGCUUCCCACAACUUUGAGUUCACUGAGGGCACAGCCCUUCACCUGGUCAUUUUUGUAUCUCUGAGGUAUCUGGUACAUGAAAUCUUAAUGAAAUG
Long non-coding RNA from Homo sapiens (human), 1328 nucleotides. RefSeq lists it as uncharacterized. The record is from RefSeq and is a predicted model, not a curated record. The transcript has 3 exons. Lineage: Eukaryota; Metazoa; Chordata; Mammalia; Primates; Hominidae.